AUUGAACGCUGGCGGCAUGCUUUACACAUGCAAGUCGAACGGCAGCGCGGGCUUCGGCCUGGCGGCGAGUGGCGAACGGGUGAGUAAUGCAUCGGAACGUGCCCAGUAGUGGGGGAUAGCCCGGCGAAAGCCGGAUUAAUACCGCAUACGACCUGAGGGUGAAAGCGGGGGACCGAAAGGCCUCGCGCUAUUGGAGCGGCCGAUGUCGGAUUAGCUAGGUGGUGGGGGAAAGGCUUACCAAGGCGACGAUCCGUAGCUGGUCUGAGAGGACGACCAGCCACACUGGGACUGAGACACGGCCCAGACUCCUACGGGAGGCAGCAGUGGGGAAUUUUGGACAAUGGGGGCAACCCUGAUCCAGCCAUGCCGCGUGCGGGAAGAAGGCCUUCGGGUUGUAAACCGCUUUUGUUCGGGAAGAAAUCCUCUGGGCUAAUACCCCGGGGGGAUGACGGUACCGGAAGAAUAAGCACCGGCUAACUACGUG
This 484-nucleotide ribosomal RNA is filed under the name uncultured bacterium. RNAcentral's name for it is "partial 16S ribosomal RNA". It matches the Rfam family "Bacterial small subunit ribosomal RNA", at positions 28 to 507 of the family's 1533-position model. The record is from RNAcentral.